UACAGAGGCCACAAGCGUUAGACGGAAUCACUGGGCUUAAAGCGUGUGUAGGCGGACUUGUAAGUACCUUGUGAAAUCCCACGGCUCACCCGUGGAACUGCUGGGUAUACUGCGAGUCUUGAGCCACUUAGGGGCUGUCGGAACAGGCGGUGGAGCGGUGAAAUGCGGUAGAUAUCGCCUGGAACGCCAAAGGUGAAAACAGACAGCUGGGAGUGUGCUGACGCUGAGACACGAAAGCCAGGGGAGCGAACGGG
RNAcentral lists this ribosomal RNA (254 nucleotides) under uncultured bacterium. RNAcentral's name for it is "partial 16S ribosomal RNA". It matches the Rfam family "Bacterial small subunit ribosomal RNA", at positions 524 to 776 of the family's 1533-position model. The record is from RNAcentral.